This is a long non-coding RNA of Oncorhynchus keta (chum salmon), 414 nucleotides long. RefSeq lists it as uncharacterized. The transcript has 3 exons. The record is from RefSeq and is a predicted model, not a curated record. Lineage: Eukaryota; Metazoa; Chordata; Actinopteri; Salmoniformes; Salmonidae.
GUUUUACCAGGUGUUUUAUCAGGUGUUUUAUCAUUACUCAGGUGUUUUAUCAGGUGUUUUACCAGGUGUUUUAUCAUUACUCAGGUGUUUUAUCAUUACUCAGGUGUUUUAUCAUUACUCAGGUGUUUUAUCAUUACUCAGGUGUUUUAUCAUUACUCAGGUGUUUCAUCAGGUGUUUUAUCAUUACUCAGGUGUUUUAUCAGGUGUUUUAUCAUUACUCAGGUGUUUUAUCAGGUGUUUUACCAGGUGUUUUAUCAGGUGUUUUAUCAGGUGUUUUAUCAGGUGUUUUACCAGGUGUUUUAUCAUUACUCAGGUGUUUUAUCAGGUGUUUUAUCAUUUCUCAGGUGUUUUACCAGGUGUUUUAUCAGGUGUUUUAUCAGGUGUUUUAUCAUUACUCAGGUGUUUUAUCAGGUG